Long non-coding RNA from Oncorhynchus tshawytscha (Chinook salmon), 737 nucleotides. The record is from Ensembl. Lineage: Eukaryota; Metazoa; Chordata; Actinopteri; Salmoniformes; Salmonidae.
GUUGAUCUGUCUUCACAGCCUGCCUCAGCUCAGCUCGCCACCUGCCCUUGAGUUACUGUGAAUAGACAAGACAGAGAGGAAGUCGUUCUGUAGUCUGGCUCUUGUAAACCAUAUCUCUGUUGUGUUUUUAUCCCUGGGCUGUUUAGAUUUUUUCCCCUCUCUGCUCUGGGGGUGGAGUGGAGCGUUUGUCCCUGGCUGGCGGAGCUCCGAUGGGAGGCAGCGCUGCCUCUGUCUGGGACUGGGGAUGCUGAACGGGGGAAGGGAGGGCCUGUUUCAACUGGGACAGCAGCUCCAGCAACAGGGGGAGUACCAGGCCGCCCUCCACUGCUUCCUUAGCUCUCUGCUGGGGUUAAGGCACGUGCAGAGCUUCACUUCGCUGCCCAACUGCCUUCACCAGAUUGCUGAACUCUUCAUCUCCGAAAAUAAUUACGGCAAGGCCCUGCAGUUCAUUCAGGCUGAGAAGAUGUUCUACGAGGUUUCUCUAAUUGAGCUCACUGCUGUUCAGGGGAGCACAGGUACAAGGAGUGACGAAGGAUGACGUUUAAGUACUAUGAGGGUGGUUGAUGAAGCAAUUGGAGUCAGGUGAGUGAGGCAGGCUUUUGGCUAAUGAAGAUUGGAUGCAGGUGAGCAAAUUGGCAUGGGUACUGCUCUACGUCCAUAUAUGGAUUUCCUUGCCGCUCUGCCGCCUUCCAUUGUGGAUGUCUGGACCCAUAUAUGGAGUUCCUGCUACAGGGCCG